CUCUCCUUAGCUCAGCUGGAAGAGGUAAGCCAUAGCCCAACUAUUCUACUGCACGAACGCCCAUACUAACAACCCUACCGCGUGAGACUGUAAUCGAUGUCAUUAAUCUCAAGGCCCGCGGUUCGAUCCCGCGAGGGGAGA
Molecule: transfer RNA, 141 nt
Filed under: Hortaea werneckii EXF-2000
Lineage: Eukaryota; Fungi; Ascomycota; Dothideomycetes; Mycosphaerellales; Teratosphaeriaceae
Description: tRNA-Und (NNN) (tRNA-Und-NNN-5-1)
Source: RNAcentral